RNAcentral lists this ribosomal RNA (614 nucleotides) under uncultured bacterium. RNAcentral's name for it is "bacterial SSU rRNA". The stretch from base 1 to 520 matches the Rfam family "Bacterial small subunit ribosomal RNA", at positions 338 to 873 of the family's 1533-position model. The record is from RNAcentral.
CCUACGGGAGGCAGCAGUGGGGAAUCUUGCGCAAUGGGCGAAAGCCUGACGCAGCAACGCCGCGUGUGGGACGAAGGCUCUCGGGUUGUAAACCACUUUCAGCAGGAACGAAAUUGACGGUACCUGCAGAAGAAGCACCGGCCAACUACGUGCCAGCAGCCGCGGUAAUACGUAGGGUGCAAGCGUUGUCCGGAUUUAUUGGGCGUAAAGAGCUCGUAGGCGGCUUUGUAAGUCGGGUGUGAAAACCCCAGGCUCAACCUGGGGACGCCACUCGAUACUGCAAUAGCUAGAGUUUGGUAGGGGAUCACGGAAUUCCUGGUGUAGCGGUGAAAUGCGCAGAUAUCAGGAGGAACACCGGUGGCGAAGGCGGUGAUCUGGGCCAAUACUGACGCUGAGGAGCGAAAGCGUGGGGAGCAAACAGGAUUAGAUACCCUGGUAGUCCACGCCGUAAACGUUGGGCACUAGGUGUGGGCCUUUAUCAACGGAGGUCCGUGCCGCAGCUACGCAGUAGUCGCCCGCCGUGGGAGGUACGGUCGCGAGAACGUAAACGUAAAACGGAAAGUUAGACGGUCGUGAGACGUUGUCCGAACGGACGACGACGAGGGGAGGUAGGG